UACCACAUUAGAAGCAGAGCUACCCAUUAU
Molecule: non-coding RNA, 30 nt
Filed under: Rattus norvegicus (Norway rat)
Lineage: Eukaryota; Metazoa; Chordata; Mammalia; Rodentia; Muridae
Source: RNAcentral